GACGAACGCUGGCGGCGUGCUUAACACAUGCAAGUCGAACGGAAAGGCCCUGCUUGUGUGGGGUGCUCGAGUGGCGAACGGGUGAGUAACACGUGAGUAACCUGCCCUUGACUUUGGGAUAACUUCAGGAAACGGGGGCUAAUACCGGAUAGGAGCUCCUGCUGCAUGGUGGGGGUUGGAAAGUUUCGGCGGUUGGGGAUGGACUCGCGGCUUAUCAGCUUGUUGGUGGGGUAGUGGCUUACCAAGGCUUUGACGGGUAGCCGGCCUGAGAGGGUGACCGGCCACAUUGGGACUGAGAUACGGCCCAGACUCCUACGGGAGGCAGCAGUGGGGAAUAUUGCACAAUGGGCGGAAGCCUGAUGCAGCAACGCCGCGUGCGGGAUGACGGCCUUCGGGUUGUAAACCGCUUUCGCCUGUGACGAAGCGUGAGUGACGGUAAUGGGUAAAGAAGCACCGGCUAACUACGUG
This 468-nucleotide ribosomal RNA is filed under the name uncultured bacterium. RNAcentral's name for it is "partial 16S ribosomal RNA". It matches the Rfam family "Bacterial small subunit ribosomal RNA", at positions 28 to 507 of the family's 1533-position model. The record is from RNAcentral.